Molecule: ribosomal RNA, 595 nt
Filed under: Nostoc sp. 'Pseudocyphellaria crocata cyanobiont'
Lineage: Bacteria; Bacillati; Cyanobacteriota; Cyanophyceae; Nostocales; Nostocaceae
Description: bacterial SSU rRNA
Rfam family: Bacterial small subunit ribosomal RNA
Source: RNAcentral
UCUGCCAUCAGGUCUGGGACAACCACUGGAAACGGUGGCUAAUACCGGAUGUGCCCUUCGGGGUGAAAGGUUAACUGCCUGUUGAUGAGCUCGCGUCUGAUUAGCUAGUUGGUGUGGUAAGAGCGCACCAAGGCGACGAUCAGUAGUUGGUCUGAGAGGACGAUCAGCCACACUGGGACUGAGACACGGCCCAGACUCCUACGGGAGGCAGCAGUGGGGAAUUUUCCGCAAUGGGCGAAAGCCUGACGGAGCAAUACCGCGUGAGGGAGGAAGGCUCUUGGGUCGUAAACCUCUUUUCUCAGGGAAGAACACAAUGACGGUACCUGAGGAAUAAGCAUCGGCUAACUCCGUGCCAGCAGCCGCGGUAAUACGGAGGAUGCAAGCGUUAUCCGGAAUGAUUGGGCGUAAAGCGUCCGCAGGUGGCUAUGUAAGUCUGCUGUUAAAGAGUCUAGCUCAACUAGAUAAGAGCAGUGGAAACUACAAGGCUAGAGUGCGUUCGGGGCAGAGGGAAUUCCUGGUGUAGCGGUGAAAUGCGUAGAGAUCAGGAAGAACACCGGUGGCGAAGGCGCUCUGCUAGGCCGCAACUGACACUGAG